AAACAUGACUUUGAUCUGCGUCCUCAUCUGGACUCUCCUCUGCUGCUGCUUCACAGAGUCCAGAGGACAGAUCACAGUGACUCAGCCUGGAGCAGUGAGCUCUGCUGUGGGAGGAGAUGUGAGGAUCAAGUGUAGGACCAGUCAGGAUGUUUAUGUUUAUAGCAACUACCACUAUUUAGCCUGGUACCAACAGAAAGAUGGAGAAACUCCCAAACUGCUCAUUAAGCGUUCUCAUGAGAGAAUAUCAGGGAUUCCAGCUCGUUUUACAGGCAGUGGAUCAAACUCUGACUUCACUCUGACCAUCAGUGGAGUCCAGGCUGAAGAUGCAGCAGUUUAUUACUGUCAGAGUUUUCAUGUUAUCAACAGUCAAGGUGUGUUCACACAGUGAAAAACAGUCGUACAAAAACCUCCCUCAGUCAGACUGAACAGAAACUGAACUGACUGCUGCAGCUGGAAGAUACUGCAGAGACUGUGUGCACCAGACUACUGCUAUCGCAUACAUGUUGUGUUCAACUUUCAAAUGUAUAUUUAACUAAAGAACAAACGUGGGCCAUUAACAGAUAUCAGGAUAAGUCCUGUUCAUGACCUUGACGACCUUAGAAGUGGAACAAAUCCACUGAAUCUAUAUCAAGUUAAAAUAAUCUAAAUACCAAAAUCUGAAAAUGUUCCUGAUCAGUGAGGGUCAAAAUAAAAACACCUGUGAAUUUAAGAUUUUACUCUAAACAUAUCAUCAAACAUGAACAUGAGUGAAAAAACUGUUAUUGAACUGAAGGUGUUUUCAUUUAUCAAUUAUUUGUUCAUAUCAUCAUUCAUUUAAUCUUCUCCUUUUUCGUCAAUGACAUUAAAACUUUGUACUUCA
Oreochromis niloticus (Nile tilapia) is the source of this 859-nucleotide non-coding RNA. NCBI's taxonomy places the organism in Eukaryota, Metazoa, Chordata, Actinopteri, Cichliformes, Cichlidae. The record is from the annotation of a RefSeq genome assembly.